Molecule: ribosomal RNA, 253 nt
Filed under: uncultured bacterium
Lineage: Bacteria
Description: partial 16S ribosomal RNA
Rfam family: Bacterial small subunit ribosomal RNA
Source: RNAcentral
UACGGAGGAUGCAAGCGUUAUCCGGAAUGAUUGGGCGUAAAGCGUCCGCAGGUGGCUAUGUAAGUCUGCUGUCAAAGCGUCUGGCUCAACCAGAUAAAGGCAGUGGAAACUACAUAGCUAGAGUAAGGUAGGGGUAGAGGGAAUUCCUGGUGUAGCGGUGAAAUGCGCAGAUAUCAGGAAGAACACCUAUGGCGAAGGCAGCGCUCUGGGACGGUACUGACGCUGAGACGCGAAAGCGUGGGGAGCGAACAGG